UACAGAGGGUGCGAGCGUUGUCCGGAAUCACUGGGCGUAAAGGGCGCGUAGGUGGUGGCUUAAGCGUGCGGUGAAAGCUCGGGGCUCAACUCCGAGUCGGCCGUGCGAACUGGGCUCACUGGAGCAUAGUAGAGGCAGGUGGAAUUCCGGGCGUAGCGGUGGAAUGCGUAGAGAUCCGGAAGAACACCGGUGGCGAAGGCGGCCUGCUGGGCUAUGGCUGACACUGAGGCGCGACAGCGUGGGGAGCAAACAGG
This 254-nucleotide ribosomal RNA is filed under the name uncultured bacterium. RNAcentral describes it as "partial 16S ribosomal RNA". It matches the Rfam family "Bacterial small subunit ribosomal RNA", at positions 524 to 776 of the family's 1533-position model. The record is from RNAcentral.